CGCUGGCGGCGUGCCUAAUACAUGCAAGUCGAGCGAACAGAUGAGGAGCUUGCUCCUCUGACGUUAGCGGCGGACGGGUGAGUAACACGUGGAUAACCUACCUAUAAGACUGGGAUAACUUCGGGAAACCGGAGCUAAUACCGGAUAAUAUAUUGAACCGCAUGGUUCAAUAGUGAAAGACGGUUUUGCUGUCACUUAUAGAUGGAUCCGCGCCGCAUUAGCUAGUUGGUAAGGUAACGGCUUACCAAGGCAACGAUGCGUAGCCGACCUGAGAGGGUGAUCGGCCACACUGGAACUGAGACACGGUCCAGACUCCUACGGGAGGCAGCAGUAGGGAAUCUUCCGCAAUGGGCGAAAGCUUGACGGAGCAACGCCGCGUGAGUGAUGAAGGUCUUAGGAUCGUAAAACUCUGUUAUUAGGGAAGAACAAAUGUGUAAGUAACUAUGCACGUCUUGACGGUACCUAAUCAGAAAGCCACGGCUAACUACGUG
Molecule: ribosomal RNA, 491 nt
Filed under: uncultured bacterium
Lineage: Bacteria
Description: partial 16S ribosomal RNA
Rfam family: Bacterial small subunit ribosomal RNA
Source: RNAcentral